AGUGAACGCUGGCGGCGUGCUUAACACAUGCAAGUCGAACGAGAACGGGGUAUAGCUUGCUAUAUUUGUCAGCUAAGUGGCGCACGGGUGAGUAAUGUAUAGAUAACCUGCCCUCUAGAAAGGAAUAACAGUUGGAAACGACUGCUAAUGCCCUAUAUGCCUUUAAUAAAUAAGUAUGCAAGGGAAACGCUUUAGUGCUAGAGGAUGGGUCUGUAUGGUAUCAGCUUGUUGGUGAGGUAAUGGCUCACCAAGGCUAUGACGCCUAACUGGUUUGAGAGGAUGAUCAGUCACACUGGAACUGAGACACGGUCCAGACUCCUACGGGAGGCAGCAGUGGGGAAUAUUGCACAAUGGACGAAAGUCUGAUGCAGCAACGCCGCGUGGAGGAUGACACAUUUCGGUGCGUAAACUCCUUUUAUAUAGGAAGAUAAUGACGGUACUAUAUGAAUAAGCACCGGCUAACUCCGUGCCAGCCGCCGCCGUAA
This 485-nucleotide ribosomal RNA is filed under the name uncultured bacterium. RNAcentral describes it as "partial 16S ribosomal RNA". It matches the Rfam family "Bacterial small subunit ribosomal RNA", at positions 29 to 523 of the family's 1533-position model. The record is from RNAcentral.